GAUGAACGCUGGCGGCGUGCCUAAUACAUGCAAGUCGAGCGAACGGACGAGAAGCUUGCUUCUCUGAUGCUAGCGGCGGACGGGUGAGUAACACGUGGAUAACCUACCUAUAAGACUAGGAUAACUUCGGGAAACCGGAGCUAAUACCGGAUGAUAUUUUGAACCGCAUGGUUCAAAAGUGAAAGACGGUCUUGCUGUCACCUAUAGAUGGAUCCGCGCUGCAUUAGCUAGUUGGUAAGGUAACGGCUUACCAAGGCAACGAUGCAUAGCCGACCUGAGAGGGUGAUCGGCCACACUGGAACUGAGACACGGUCCAGACUCCUACGGGAGGCAGCAGUAGGGAAUCUUCCGCAAUGGGCGAAAGCCUGACGGAGCAACGCCGCGUGAGUGAUGAAGGUCUUCGGAUCGUAAAACUCUGUUAUUAGGGAAGAACAUAUGUGUAAGUAACUGUGCACAUCUUGACGGUACCUAAUCAGAAAGCCACGGCUAACUACGUG
RNAcentral lists this ribosomal RNA (497 nucleotides) under uncultured bacterium. RNAcentral describes it as "partial 16S ribosomal RNA". It matches the Rfam family "Bacterial small subunit ribosomal RNA", at positions 28 to 507 of the family's 1533-position model. The record is from RNAcentral.